Molecule: ribosomal RNA, 495 nt
Filed under: uncultured bacterium
Lineage: Bacteria
Description: partial 16S ribosomal RNA
Rfam family: Bacterial small subunit ribosomal RNA
Source: RNAcentral
GAUGAACGCUGGCGGCGUGCCUAAUACAUGCAAGUAGAACGCUGAAGGAGGAUCUUGCUCUUCUGGAUGAGUUGCGAACGGGUGAGUAACGCGUAGGUAACCUGCCUGGUAGCGGGGGAUAACUAUUGGAAACGAUAGCUAAUACCGCAUGACAACAGUUAUUGCAUGAUAACUGUUUAAAAGGUGCAACUGCUCCACUACCAGAUGGACCUGCGUUGUAUUAGCUAGUUGGUGAGGUAACGGCUCACCAAGGCGACGUUACAUAGCCGACCGGCGAGGGUGAGCGGCAACACUGGGAAUGAGACACGGCCCAGACUCCUAGGGGAGGCAGCAGUAGGGAACCUCCGGCAAUGGAAGGAAGUCUGAACGAGAAACGCCGCGUGAGUGAAGAAGGCUGUCGGAUCGUAAAGCUCUGUUGUAAGAGAAGAAUGAGUGUGAGAGUGGAAAGUUCACACUGUGACGGUAUCUUACAAGAAAGGGACGGCUAACUACGUG